ACAAACUUGGUCAUUUAGAGGAAGUAAAAGUCGUAACAAGGUAACCGUAGGUGAACCUGCGGUUGGAUCAUUAUCAAUUUACUUUUUUUUUUAUUUUAUUUUAAAAUAAAAAAAAAAUAAACACCCAUUGUGAACUGGUAAUUGUUUUUGGUGGUCUUGAGGAGUGAGUUCCUCGCUCUCAGAUCCUUAGAAGACUGAAGUCUUUCUGGACUUUGAAAGCAGGCCACCAAAGGACUCCUUCACUGUUUUUUCAAGGGGGGGGUCCGCUUUCUACUUUAAACCCAACCAUAUCUCUACUUUUCUUUCUAUUAAAUGUCUUUGAUGAAAAAUUGGCCAAAUGAGAAAACAACUUUUAACAACGGAUCUCUUGGCUCUCGCAUCGAUGAAGAACGCAGC
This 396-nucleotide unclassified non-coding RNA is filed under the name uncultured fungus. Its description in RNAcentral is "partial contains small subunit ribosomal RNA, internal transcribed spacer 1, and 5.8S ribosomal RNA". The stretch from base 1 to 73 matches the Rfam family "Eukaryotic small subunit ribosomal RNA", at positions 1759 to 1831 of the family's 1831-position model. Lineage: Eukaryota; Fungi. The record is from RNAcentral.